GAUAGCUAAUACCGGAUAACAACAGAUGAUGCCUAUCAACUGUUUAAAAGAUGGUUCUGCUAUCACUCUUGGAUGGACCUGCGGUGCAUUAGCUAGUUGGUAGGGUAACGGCCUACCAAGGCGAUGAUGCAUAGCCGAGUUGAGAGACUGAUCGGCCACAUUGGGACUGAGACACGGCCCAAACUCCUACGGGAGGCAGCAGAG
RNAcentral lists this ribosomal RNA (204 nucleotides) under uncultured Lactobacillus sp. Its description in RNAcentral is "partial 16S ribosomal RNA". It matches the Rfam family "Bacterial small subunit ribosomal RNA", at positions 158 to 354 of the family's 1533-position model. The record is from RNAcentral. Lineage: Bacteria; Bacillati; Bacillota; Bacilli; Lactobacillales; Lactobacillaceae.